Molecule: long non-coding RNA, 258 nt
Filed under: Neogobius melanostomus (round goby)
Lineage: Eukaryota; Metazoa; Chordata; Actinopteri; Gobiiformes; Gobiidae
Description: lncRNA (ENSNMLG00000022862.1)
Source: RNAcentral
UCUUCCAAUCUUUCAACAUACGCAUGAUUAAUUGUUUUCUUGUAAAUAUUUCAGGGUCCUCCAGGUCCCACUGGUCUCCAGGGUGUGAUCGGAGCUCCUGGUCCAGCUGGCACCGACGGCGAGGCGGGCCCCAGGGGACAGCAGGGUAUGUUCGGACAGAAGGGAGACGAAGGACCGCGAGGGUUCCCCGGCCUCCCUGGACCCAUCGGACUGCAAGGUUUGCCCGGCCCUCCUGGUGAGAAGGGAGAGAAUGGAGAU